GCCAGGCAUAGUGGUGUGUGCCCGUAGUCCCAGCUACUUAGGAGGCUGAGGUGGGAGGAUUGCUUGAGCCCGGGAGGUUGAGGCUGCAGUGAGCUGAGAUCAUACCACUGCACUCUAGCCUGGGUGACAGAGCGAGACCCUGUCUCAA
RNAcentral lists this non-coding RNA (148 nucleotides) under Homo sapiens (human). Lineage: Eukaryota; Metazoa; Chordata; Mammalia; Primates; Hominidae. The record is from Rfam by way of RNAcentral.